UACGGAGGAUCCGAGCGUUAUCCGGAUUUAUUGGGUUUAAAGGGUGCGUAGGCGGUCAGGUAAGUUAGAGGUGAAAGCUCGAUGCUCAACAUCGAAACUGCCUCUGAUACUGUCUGACUAGAGUGUAGUUGCGGAAGGCGGAAUGUGUGGUGUAGCGGUGAAAUGCUUAGAUAUCACACAGAACACCGAUUGCGAAGGCAGCUUUCCAAGCUAUUACUGACGCUGAGGCACGAAAGCGUGGGGAGCGAACA
Molecule: ribosomal RNA, 251 nt
Filed under: uncultured bacterium
Lineage: Bacteria
Description: partial 16S ribosomal RNA
Rfam family: Bacterial small subunit ribosomal RNA
Source: RNAcentral